RNAcentral lists this RNase P RNA (402 nucleotides) under Sinosporangium album. RNAcentral's name for it is "Streptosporangineae bacterium 6014 Bacterial RNase P class A". It matches the Rfam family "Bacterial RNase P class A". From Rfam's summary of the family: Ribonuclease P (RNase P) is a ubiquitous endoribonuclease, found in archaea, bacteria and eukarya as well as chloroplasts and mitochondria. Its best characterised activity is the generation of mature 5'-ends of tRNAs by cleaving the 5'-leader elements of precursor-tRNAs. The record is from Rfam by way of RNAcentral. Lineage: Bacteria; Bacillati; Actinomycetota; Actinomycetes; Streptosporangiales; Streptosporangiaceae.
CGAGCCGGCCGGGCGGUCGCGUCGGGUUCACACGUGAACCCGCCGAGGAAGGUCCGGGCUCCACAGGGCAGGGUGGUCGGUAACCCCGACCCGGGGCGACCCGCGGGACAGUGCCACAGAGAGCAGACCGCCUUCCCCCUCACCGGGGGAAGGUAAGGGUGAAAGGGUGGUGUAAGAGACCACCAGCGCCCACGGCGACGUGAGCGGCUAGGUAAACCCCACCCGGAGCAAGGUCAAGAAGGGCCGCUCCUCACGGAGCGACCCGCGUGCGACGUUCGAGGGCUGCCCGCCCGAGCCGCACGGGUAGAUCGCACGAGGCCGCCGGCAACGGCGGCCCCAGAUGGAUGACCGCCCCUUCGCACCCGCGAAGGACAGAACCCGGCCUACAGGCCGACUCGUCCG